GUGGGCGUAGUGUAGCGGUUAACACGCCAGGUUGUGGCCCUGGAGAUCGUGGGUUCAAAUCCCAUCGUCCACCCCA
RNAcentral lists this transfer RNA (76 nucleotides) under Gammaproteobacteria bacterium. RNAcentral's name for it is "tRNA-His". It matches the Rfam family "tRNA". Rfam says of the family: Transfer RNA (tRNA) molecules are approximately 80 nucleotides in length. Their secondary structure includes four short double-helical elements and three loops (D, anti-codon, and T loops). Lineage: Bacteria; Pseudomonadati; Pseudomonadota; Gammaproteobacteria. The record is from RNAcentral. RNAcentral also lists the same sequence under 1 other name.